UUGGUAAUAAUUACAAAGCGUUACUGGAUAUAAAAUGUAUCAUCAAUACCAUUUACAUAUUUUUUCAGUUGUGCCACAGAGAUUUAAUUGAAACAUUGUACACCAGCUGGCUUUAUUAAAUGUGAUUUUUUAUGUUUACAUUUAUUUUGUUCUUAAUUAUAACGGGUUUAUAACGUAUUAAUUGAUUAUCUCCAUGUAAAUAUUUUGCUGUAAACUAUUUUGUGGACAUAAAUCGGUCUGACUGAUCUAGGGUUAAACACUGUUUUAUUUAACAAAGCAUACGUCAUCAUACAGUCGUCUUCAUGAAACCAAAAUUUUAAAACUUUAACCUGUGGUCUUAGUGGCUUGAUAUAACGUGGACUUAUGACUGUGUGCAUUGCUGUCUCCCAGUGAGAGGUUACACCAGUUAGUGCAAGUCAACCUACUCGUCAGCAGAAAUCUGGAAUUCUCACUAAACCUUAAAUCUGAGUCUCCGAAGAAAGAACGUAAAGGUCCAGCUUAGCACCACUCCGAAUGUCUGUGUCAUUGAUAUGAAAUCUGGACUUUUGUUGGACAAUCCGAGGCUCUUAUCCAGCUGUGGGAGGAUCUGAAUAUGUUCUGUCCUCCACCUUCACAGCCGCCCCUCCAGACCAGCAAUAUAAUGAUACUCAUACAUAAUGAUAACACUAUAUAUAAUGAUACACUGUAGCAUAUGAAAGCUCUCUUUUUUGAAAAUAAUUAAAGUGUUUCAAUCGACAA
Molecule: long non-coding RNA, 738 nt
Organism: Homalodisca vitripennis (glassy-winged sharpshooter)
Lineage: Eukaryota; Metazoa; Arthropoda; Insecta; Hemiptera; Cicadellidae
Exons: 2
Source: RefSeq, a predicted model, not a curated record